Cyprinodon tularosa is the source of this 549-nucleotide long non-coding RNA. RefSeq lists it as uncharacterized. The record is from RefSeq and is a predicted model, not a curated record. The transcript is spliced from 3 exons. NCBI's taxonomy places the organism in Eukaryota, Metazoa, Chordata, Actinopteri, Cyprinodontiformes, Cyprinodontidae.
UAACCAGACGUCUGUCUUUCACAGUCCUCAGUCGUCAGACGCCUACAUCUCCCCUCGCAUACAUAAUACGCCUUCUUGUGGUCGGUGUUUUCUUCUUCAUCAUGGUGAUGAUACUCUGCUUCUGGAGAAGACAUAAAGAAGAGAAUCUACAGAAUCUUCAUUCUACAGAAGAGAAUCCCAAAAAGCACAGCUUCUCAUAACUUACAGUGCUGCUCCAACCAUUUAUUCAAGAGGGAAACCAGAGAGGAGCUGAUAAUGUGAAAUCCAGCAUUGUAACGCAUCAAGUAACACAUUAAUCUUUCUCACCUUAUUUACAUGAAUUGAUGUAUAAAAAGGGAAUUAUUAAAAUGCACAUUAUGCUAAAUGGACACCCUGUGAGAAUCUUGUGUCCUGGGUAUCCCCAUCAUUCAUGCAUCCAGAGCCAGGAUGCUUCUCCUUGCAGCUUCUGUUUAAUCUUAGAAGCUAAACUGUGUCUUAAUCUAAAACUUGGUAAAUAUUUCUCGUACUUUGACUAAUUUGUUUGUUCAGUUUAUAAAUAUAUGUAAAAUG